RNAcentral lists this transfer RNA (76 nucleotides) under Muriicola sp. Its description in RNAcentral is "tRNA-Lys". It matches the Rfam family "tRNA". From Rfam's summary of the family: Transfer RNA (tRNA) molecules are approximately 80 nucleotides in length. Their secondary structure includes four short double-helical elements and three loops (D, anti-codon, and T loops). Lineage: Bacteria; Pseudomonadati; Bacteroidota; Flavobacteriia; Flavobacteriales; Flavobacteriaceae. The record is from RNAcentral.
GGAAUCGUGGCAGAAUGGCAAGUGCAUCUGACUUUUAAUCAGACUUAAGUGGGUUCGAUUCCCGCCGGUUCCACCA